Molecule: ribosomal RNA, 2911 nt
Filed under: Pseudomonas aeruginosa
Lineage: Bacteria; Pseudomonadati; Pseudomonadota; Gammaproteobacteria; Pseudomonadales; Pseudomonadaceae
Description: 23S ribosomal RNA
Rfam family: Bacterial large subunit ribosomal RNA
Source: RNAcentral
GUUAUAUGGUCAAGUGAAGAAGCGCAUACGGUGGAUGCCUUGGCAGUCAGAGGCGAUGAAAGACGUGGUAGCCUGCGAAAAGCUUCGGGGAGUCGGCAAACAGACUUUGAUCCGGAGAUCUCUGAAUGGGGGAACCCACCUAGGAUAACCUAGGUAUCUUGUACUGAAUCCAUAGGUGCAAGAGGCGAACCAGGGGAACUGAAACAUCUAAGUACCCUGAGGAAAAGAAAUCAACCGAGAUUCCCUUAGUAGUGGCGAGCGAACGGGGAUUAGCCCUUAAGCUUCAUUGAUUUUAGCGGAACGCUCUGGAAAGUGCGGCCAUAGUGGGUGAUAGCCCCGUACGCGAAAGGAUCUUUGAAGUGAAAUCGAGUAGGACGGAGCACGAGAAACUUUGUCUGAACAUGGGGGACCAUCCUCCAAGGCUAAAUACUACUGACUGACCGAUAGUGAACCAGUACCGUGAGGGAAAGGCGAAAAGAACCCCGGAGAGGGGAGUGAAAUAGAACCUGAAACCGUAUGCGUACAAGCAGUGGGAGCCUACUUGUUAGGUGACUGCGUACCUUUUGUAUAAUGGGUCAGCGACUUAUAUUCAGUGGCAAGCUUAACCGUAUAGGGUAGGCGUAGCGAAAGCGAGUCUUAAUAGGGCGUUUAGUCGCUGGGUAUAGACCCGAAACCGGGCGAUCUAUCCAUGAGCAGGUUGAAGGUUAGGUAACACUGACUGGAGGACCGAACCCACUCCCGUUGAAAAGGUAGGGGAUGACUUGUGGAUCGGAGUGAAAGGCUAAUCAAGCUCGGAGAUAGCUGGUUCUCCUCGAAAGCUAUUUAGGUAGCGCCUCAUGUAUCACUCUGGGGGGUAGAGCACUGUUUCGGCUAGGGGGUCAUCCCGACUUACCAAACCGAUGCAAACUCCGAAUACCCAGAAGUGCCGAGCAUGGGAGACACACGGCGGGUGCUAACGUCCGUCGUGAAAAGGGAAACAACCCAGACCGCCAGCUAAGGUCCCAAAGUUGUGGUUAAGUGGUAAACGAUGUGGGAAGGCUUAGACAGCUAGGAGGUUGGCUUAGAAGCAGCCACCCUUUAAAGAAAGCGUAAUAGCUCACUAGUCGAGUCGGCCUGCGCGGAAGAUGUAACGGGGCUCAAACCACACACCGAAGCUGCGGGUGUCACGUAAGUGACGCGGUAGAGAGCGUUCUGUAAGCCUGUGAAGGUGAGUUGAGAAGCUUGCUGGAGGUAUCAGAAGUGCGAAUGCUGACAUGAGUAACGACAAUGGGUGUGAAAAACACCCACGCCGAAAAGACCAAGGGUUCCUGCGCAACGUUAAUCGACGCAGGGUUAGUCGGUUCCUAAGGCGAGGCUGAAAAGCGUAGUCGAUGGGAAACAGGUUAAUAUUCCUGUACUUCUGGUUACUGCGAUGGAGGGACGGAGAAGGCUAGGCCAGCUUGGCGUUGGUUGUCCAAGUUUAAGGUGGUAGGCUGAAAUCUUAGGUAAAUCCGGGGUUUCAAGGCCGAGAGCUGAUGACGAGUCGUCUUUUAGAUGACGAAGUGGUUGAUGCCAUGCUUCCAAGAAAAGCUUCUAAGCUUCAGGUAACCAGGAACCGUACCCCAAACCGACACAGGUGGUCGGGUAGAGAAUACCAAGGCGCUUGAGAGAACUCGGGUGAAGGAACUAGGCAAAAUGGCACCGUAACUUCGGGAGAAGGUGCGCCGGCUAGGGUGAAGGAUUUACUCCGUAAGCUCUGGCUGGUCGAAGAUACCAGGCCGCUGCGACUGUUUAUUAAAAACACAGCACUCUGCAAACACGAAAGUGGACGUAUAGGGUGUGACGCCUGCCCGGUGCCGGAAGGUUAAUUGAUGGGGUUAGCGCAAGCGAAGCUCUUGAUCGAAGCCCCGGUAAACGGCGGCCGUAACUAUAACGGUCCUAAGGUAGCGAAAUUCCUUGUCGGGUAAGUUCCGACCUGCACGAAUGGCGUAACGAUGGCGGCGCUGUCUCCACCCGAGACUCAGUGAAAUUGAAAUCGCUGUGAAGAUGCAGUGUAUCCGCGGCUAGACGGAAAGACCCCGUGAACCUUUACUGUAGCUUUGCACUGGACUUUGAGCCUGCUUGUGUAGGAUAGGUGGGAGGCUUUGAAGCGUGGACGCCAGUUCGCGUGGAGCCAUCCUUGAAAUACCACCCUGGCAUGCUUGAGGUUCUAACUCUGGUCCGUGAUCCGGAUCGAGGACAGUGUAUGGUGGGCAGUUUGACUGGGGCGGUCUCCUCCUAAAGAGUAACGGAGGAGUACGAAGGUGCGCUCAGACCGGUCGGAAAUCGGUCGCAGAGUAUAAAGGCAAAAGCGCGCUUGACUGCGAGACAGACACGUCGAGCAGGUACGAAAGUAGGUCUUAGUGAUCCGGUGGUUCUGUAUGGAAGGGCCAUCGCUCAACGGAUAAAAGGUACUCCGGGGAUAACAGGCUGAUACCGCCCAAGAGUUCAUAUCGACGGCGGUGUUUGGCACCUCGAUGUCGGCUCAUCACAUCCUGGGGCUGAAGCCGGUCCCAAGGGUAUGGCUGUUCGCCAUUUAAAGUGGUACGCGAGCUGGGUUUAGAACGUCGUGAGACAGUUCGGUCCCUAUCUGCCGUGGACGUUUGAGAUUUGAGAGGGGCUGCUCCUAGUACGAGAGGACCGGAGUGGACGAACCUCUGGUGUUCCGGUUGUCACGCCAGUGGCAUUGCCGGGUAGCUAUGUUCGGAAAAGAUAACCGCUGAAAGCAUCUAAGCGGGAAACUUGCCUCAAGAUGAGAUCUCACUGGGAACUUGAUUCCCCUGAAGGGCCGUCGAAGACUACGACGUUGAUAGGCUGGGUGUGUAAGCGUUGUGAGGCGUUGAGCUAACCAGUACUAAUUGCCCGUGAGGCUUGACCAUAUAACACCCAAACA